Molecule: long non-coding RNA, 1544 nt
Organism: Rattus rattus (black rat)
Lineage: Eukaryota; Metazoa; Chordata; Mammalia; Rodentia; Muridae
Exons: 4
Source: RefSeq, a predicted model, not a curated record
UCCCCGGCCGAACCCCCUUCAGUGCGCGCCGCGCCGAGGGCAGAUCCGGUGUGAGCCGCCGCUGCCGCCGCCCCCUUGCCUCCUCCUCCCUCACGGCGUCCCUCCCACUGAGGCCCGCCUCGUAUUUCCUGGAUCCGGUCUCAGGGAGAGGUUGGCCAAAGAACUGCCGGCUUCAGGGCUUCCGUCGGACGCCUUCGCUCGCCAGACACAAAGAUGGCACCGCCCGGACCUGCGCCUUUCACUGGGAAGAGUAAUUGACACAACCCAGGACACAAAUGGUGCUUUUUCUCUGCCAGACCUCUCUGCUCAGCUCCUGGUCUCCUUGACUUUUCACUGUUACUGUUAAUCAGUUGUUUUGAAUACCUUCCCAGAGAAGAUUUUAGAGCUUAUUUGUGGAAACAACUAGGAACUUGAUGGCAAGACUCUAUUGCUGAAGGUGCAUACUUGAGUCAUAGAAGAAAUCAAGCUGGUAUUGAUCUGGAAGCUUCAUAAACUCCAGCUACUUUUCAUCAUAUGGAAGUUUCUAUGAGUGUUAUUGGUGAAGAAAAGUAACCAACAGUAUUACCCAACUGAACUUUGCAUUCUACAGUAACAACUGGCCUGGCAAGAUACACCCAUGGAUGUCAAAUUCCAUGAGUGUUAUGGGAGUAACAAAUUGCUUUCUGAUUGGAUUUAAGGCCUACUCUACGGACAGACCUCAGAUGUGGUAGUUUACUAGUACAAAGACCUGUGGAUAGGCCAUAGGCCAUAGGAGAGGUCCUCAUACUAUUAUUCUACUAAAUUGACACAGUAAUUAACUGUCCUCUAAAUUCUUAUCUUUAUACAUAUAGAUAAGCAUGCCACUCAACCCUCAUCAAAAAAGCUUUCUGUAGCAGAUGGUGAUUAAUAUAGAGACCCACAACUGGACAACAUGUAGAGAAUAAGACACUAUGAAUGUACAACCACAAAUGGGACAUUUAUGUCUACUCAAAGCUCAGGGAUCAUUGCCAAAGAGAUGAUGAAAUGAUUGCCAAGAGCCAGAGUUCCUGGACAUCUGCAGUGAGACUGUUUUCUAGACAUAAGAAAAAUGCACAAAUGACCUCACAGUGACUGUUACUGUACACAUAAGACCUGCACUGGGUCAAUCUAGACAAAAUUCCCAACAUGGAUAAUGAGGGGCUGGUAAAAUGCUAUCCCCAGCUGAGGAGACAUUGGCAAAUCAUGGCUGCUGGCAGAUGGAGAGGCAGUUUCCUUCAGGAAUAUGGUCCCUGAGAGACUACCUGUUGCAGUAAAUAAUGAAAAAGAUACUCCCACCCACGUUAUUGCAGGCACUGGUGCACCACAUUACAACUGCAGGAUAUUUUCAUCUCAAUCAGCAAAAUGUCUCCACCUGAUUGCCAAGUUACCAAUUUCCAUCCCACACUGUCACCAGCUACUCUGUGGGCCCUGCAGUGAUCUCACCGCCAUGGCUAGCCCCAGAAGUGACCACCCUUCUAUUUCUCAUGGUGCUGGUCACUGCCAUGCCAGCCACAUUCAGCCAUCUAUCCCCUGUGGUUAUAGUCACA